UGGGGAAUAUUGCACAAUGGAGGGAACUCUGAUGCAGCGACGCCGCGUGAGUGAUGAAGGAAUUCGUUUCGUAAAACUCUGUUCUAUGGGAAGAAAAGGACUGUACCAUAGGAGAAAGCUCCGGCUAAAUACGUGCCAGCAGCCGCGGUAAUACGUAUGGAGCGAGCGUUGUCCGGAAUUAUUUGGCGUAAAGGGUGCGCAGGCGGCUUUACAAGUUGGAUGUGAAAUAUUGUGGCUCAACCACAAACGUGCAUCCAAAACUGCAAAGCUUGAGUUAAGGAGAGGUAAGUGGAAUUCCUGGUGUAGCUGUGGAAUGCGUAGAUAUCAGGAGGAAUACCGGUGGCGAAGGCGACUUACUGGACUUAAACUGACGCUCAGGCACGAAAGCGUGGGGAGCAAACAGG
Molecule: ribosomal RNA, 404 nt
Filed under: Fusobacteriota bacterium
Lineage: Bacteria; Fusobacteriati; Fusobacteriota
Description: Fusobacteria bacterium partial 16S ribosomal RNA
Rfam family: Bacterial small subunit ribosomal RNA
Source: RNAcentral